CAUAGGGGUUCCUUGCUUGUCACAUUUUGUGAGUCAUGUCCUAGGUUGUAACGCAAGGGCAGAUUGUAGAUUUCACAUGAUACAAUCCAACCAAGAACUUAGAAAUUCUGUCAAAUGUCCUAACUGGCUCCCACUUCCAAUCAUAGUGUUUCAAUAAAAUACCUUAAAAACCCUCUUAAAACCUCACAGCACCAAAACGCCUUUCUUGUGUUUGUGUUAUGUCCACACUCAGAAGAUAGCUGCUAUUUCAACAUGUCUUUCUCACACACAUCUUCUGAAGCCAACUUUCAUCUUCUUCUUGUUCUUCUUGCUGUUGCUGCUUCUGAUGUUGUUGUGACAGCUUCAUAUUCUUCAAUUCAUGAGCUACUUCGCAGCAAUGGCUUACCUGCAGGGCUUUUCCCUGAGAGUGUGAAGUCAUACAAAUUGGACCAGAAGGGUCGUUUGGAGGUGCAGUUAGAUCGUCCAUGUCUGGCCAAGUAUGAGAACAGGGUCUUGUUUGAGACUGUGGUGAGUGCUAACCUCAGUUUUGGACAGCUUAAAGGGUUGGAAGGUCUCUCUCAAGAAGAGCUUUUUCUAUGGCUUCCUGUGAAGGAUAUCAUUGUCAAUGAUCCUUCAUCUGGUCUCAUCCUUAUUGAUAUUGGUCUUGCUCAUAAACAGCUCUCACUCUCUCUCUUUGAAGACCCCCCUGUUUGUAGAUCUCAAGGUUCUUCACUAUACACAGCAGGAAGGAAGAUUAUUGGAUUUCAAGAUCAGAGAUGAAAGAGUUGGUUUCUCAGAAAAGUUGGUUUCUUUUCUAUUUUCAAUUUUGUUCCUUAGAAAGAGUUACAUGGUGCAAUAUGCAUAGAUCCAGCAAGGGUUGUAAUGAAUGUCAUACUCAUAAAUUGAUGGCGGUGUUUACUAUUGUAAAAAAUGAAUCUUUCUGCAAUUUUGUGUGCCGCUUUAUUUCUAAGGGGGAAUUCUUUGGUGUCUAUGGAAGUAGUGCUUAAUUUGGCUAAAGGUAAAGAUAAAGUAAGGUGGAACCCAGUGUUUUAUGUUUGAAUUCUCUGAGUGAAAUCUAGGCAUCAUAGAAGAUACCAUUUCUAAAUUCUAAUGUUCAAGCUGUUUCAUAUCAUGUCA
Molecule: RNA transcript, 1116 nt
Organism: Arachis duranensis
Lineage: Eukaryota; Viridiplantae; Streptophyta; Magnoliopsida; Fabales; Fabaceae
Exons: 3
Source: RefSeq, a predicted model, not a curated record